This 2012-nucleotide long non-coding RNA is filed under the name Homo sapiens (human). RNAcentral's name for it is "novel transcript". Lineage: Eukaryota; Metazoa; Chordata; Mammalia; Primates; Hominidae. The record is from RNAcentral.
GAGUUGCCUUUGUAUGCUGGGAGGACCAAGCCGGAGGUUCCCACUAUGAGCCCGGAGUCUGUGCAGCCAGAUGACGCAUGAGCUCUAUUCAAAAUACCCAAGAUUUGGAAGCAACCUAAGUGCAUAUCAGCAGACAAAUGGAUAAAGAAAAUGUGGUACAUAUACAAAAUGGAGUACUAUUCAGCUGUAAAAAAGAAUGAGAUCCUGUCAUUUGCAACAACAUGCAUGCAACUGGAGGUCGUUAUGCCUCUGCCUCUGAAUGUGAAGGGAAACUGGACCAGCUCAGUGUCAAGCCUACAGACAUUUCCUUGUUCCUGGGGACUGAGCAGUUUGAAGUUUCCAAAGAUGAAAACAUCUACUCUGAAGAGACCUGAAUGGACAAGAGAUGUUUUCCUCUUCCUUACCAUAAUAAAAGAGGACUGCUCCUGACCACAGGAUAUGCCUGGUCCAGGAAAUGGCCACAUUUCCCCCCUCAGGACCUCUACUUGGAUGGGCUGCCUUGGAAAUAAGUAUACUGGAUUGGAAACCCAUUCAAUCUGAUGUCUGCUGAGGAAUGGAGAAAGACCACUGGUGAUUCCUCCAUCCUCACUCCUGUGUCCCUCCUUGCAUUGCAAGUGCUUUACAAGUCUUCCCGAUAGACCAUGAGCAUCCUGAGGGCUGGUAUCAAAUUUAACUCAUCUCCUAUCCUCAGUGCCUCGUACAAGAUGCUGGAUGUAGGAGGAGUUCAGAAGCUCAAACUGAGGCAGAAUCACAGCGAUUUGGAAAAUGGUCCAAUCAGCUAUAGUGGAAGAGCAGAAUCAUUGAAUAUAAAACAUGGAGAUGUCAGCAGCAGGGGCUGUGAGCUGAACAGCUUCACUGGGAAGAGGAUAUGGGUGAGAAGGUACAGCAAUGGGUACCUCCAUUAACAGGUAAGCUGGAUCCUCCAUAGGAAUAGGCACUAGCUGGUUUUGGAUGAAGGUGUCGUAAGAUCAGAUACACUUUUGGGUGAUCAGCAUGAUCUGGGUAUGGACAUGGCAGAGCAGGUGGAAGGGAAGGGACCAAUAUGUGUCAAUAACCAUCUAUGAGCCAGGCACUUACCGGGAAGUAUAAUGUCUUUGUAGUUAGACAGACCAGUAGUGUCUGUUGCUCUGGAGGAAGUUACUUAAACUCACCAAGACUCAGUUUUCUCUGUAUUAAAAUGAUGACACCUACCUCACUAUCUGGCCAUUGGGAUUAAAUAUGAGAAUAUGUGUGAAAAUUUAUGUCAUAUGGUAAGCACUCAGAUGUUUCCUGGUGGAACAGCAUGGUGUGGAUUAGGAACAUCCAAACUCUGACAUCAAGCUGAACUUUUGAAAUAGAGGCCUCCCUGCUCACUAGUUGGGCAACCUUGAACAAGCUAGUUAAACUGUCUAGAGCUCAGUUUUGUUAUCUGGUGAGAUUAAUAGCAUUGAAUGGUGUAAAGCACAUUCUCAGUAAAUGCUCAUUAUUAUGAUUAUAGUUAUUAAUGUUUAUUUAACUUUGAAAUAAUAAUGUGUAGGAGCUCCUCAGGUAGAUAAUGGAAAUAAGAAAUUUCUUAGGUCAUGGAAGCAUGGAGGUAUGGAAAAUUUUGGAGAACAAAGAGGAGUCUGGUGAAGUAGGGUGGGGAUACUGGGCAGAUGCAAAGAUUGCCAAGGGUUAUAUCAUAAAGGCCGGGAUACCAGCCUGGCAUCAACUGCCUUAGAUUGGGAAGAUGCAAAACUGUGGUCUGGAGUCAGCCCUGCAGAAGCCUGUUUCCUGACUUUCCAUCUUCAAUCUCUUUUCUAUGCAGUUACCAGAGUCAUGUUUUGAAAUCUCAAAUCUGAGCAUCUAUCCUCAAAUAGAGGCCUACAUGGCUUCCAGUUCCUCCAGGAGAAGGUCCAAAUCCCUUAAGAUGACUUUAAGGCCCUCAAGUGUUCCAGGCUCUGUACGUUCUUGUGCCACAACUAUGCCACAACAAAACAGUUUUUCCCCCAUUUCUACUUUGUUUUUCCAGCUGUAGAGUCAAAGCCUCAAGA